This 243-nucleotide non-coding RNA is filed under the name Sphingobium sp. EP60837. RNAcentral also lists the same sequence under 1 other name. Lineage: Bacteria; Pseudomonadati; Pseudomonadota; Alphaproteobacteria; Sphingomonadales; Sphingobiaceae. The record is from RNAcentral.
ACGGCGACUGAUCGCGCCGGUGCCUCAAUAGAGGCUUAAAAGGGAAUGCGGUGCGGACGUCCCAAGCGUCCCAAUCCGCGGCUGUCCCUGCAACUGUAAGCGGUGAGCGAGACAUAUAUCGACCUUCCGUGACAAUCGGGGGGCAGCCACUGGGCCGGACGCUAAAUCCUGCGAGGCCCGGGAAGGCCAUGUGUCGAGCGAUGACCCGCAAGCCAGGAGACCUGCCAGCGUCUGGUCGCUCUU